GCACAGCUGGUGGAAUUGGCAGACACGAAGGAUUUAGGUUCCUUUGCUUCGGCGUGCGGGUUCAAGUCCCGCGCUGUGUACCA
This 83-nucleotide transfer RNA is filed under the name Lentisphaeria bacterium. Its description in RNAcentral is "tRNA-Leu". It matches the Rfam family "tRNA". From Rfam's summary of the family: Transfer RNA (tRNA) molecules are approximately 80 nucleotides in length. Their secondary structure includes four short double-helical elements and three loops (D, anti-codon, and T loops). Further hydrogen bonds mediate the characteristic L-shaped molecular structure. tRNAs have two regions of fundamental functional importance: the anti-codon, which is responsible for specific mRNA codon recognition, and the 3' end, to which the tRNAs corresponding amino acid is attached (by aminoacyl-tRNA synthetases). tRNAs cope with the degeneracy of the genetic code in two manners: having more than one tRNA (with a specific anti-codon) for a particular amino acid; and 'wobble' base-pairing, i.e. permitting non-standard base-pairing at the 3rd anti-codon position. The record is from RNAcentral. Lineage: Bacteria; Pseudomonadati; Lentisphaerota; Lentisphaeria.